AGUGAACGCUGGCGGCAGGCCUAACACAUGCAAGUCGAACGGCAGCACAGUAAGAGCUUGCUCUUACGGGUGGCGAGUGGCGGAUGGGUGAGGAAUACAUCGGAAUCUACUUUUUCGUGGGGGAUAACGUAGGGAAACUUACGCUAAUACCGCAUACGACCUACGGGUGAAAGCAGGGGAUCUUCGGACCUUUCGCGAUUGAAUGAGCCGAUGUCGGAUUAGCUAGUUGGCGGGGUAAAGGCCCACCAAGGCGACGAUCCGUAGCUGGUCUGAGAGGAUGAUCAGCCACACUGGAACUGAGACACGGUCCAGACUCCUACGGGAGGCAGCAGUGGGGAAUAUUGGGCAAUGGGCGAAAGCCUGAUCCAGCCAUACCGCGUGGGUGAAGAAGGCCUUCGGGUUGUAAAGCCCUUUUGUUGGGGAAGAAAAGCAGCAGGUUAAUACGCCGCUGUUCUGACGGUACCCAAAGAAUAAGCACCGGCUAACUUCGUG
Molecule: ribosomal RNA, 492 nt
Filed under: uncultured bacterium
Lineage: Bacteria
Description: partial 16S ribosomal RNA
Rfam family: Bacterial small subunit ribosomal RNA
Source: RNAcentral